Molecule: long non-coding RNA, 1572 nt
Filed under: Rhinopithecus bieti (black snub-nosed monkey)
Lineage: Eukaryota; Metazoa; Chordata; Mammalia; Primates; Cercopithecidae
Description: lncRNA (ENSRBIG00000046689.1)
Source: RNAcentral
CCAGGUGUGGGCCUUGCAGCCAGCUCGGGGUCCAAGGGGCACUCCUGGGGUGCAAAGGAGGAUUUGUGCCAACCCAGAGGAUGGAGGAAACGACGGUUUUGAAAAGGUUUGUGAGGAGUCCCGGGUCCCCUGCUGCUCCGUGAGAAAUCAAACUUCUGGCACUGACAAAGCAUGAAGCCAGCAUUUUAGGAAGAGGGCGACCGGAUUACAAUCCCAGCCAGUAUGAACAUGAGGCGGCGCGCAGUCCUGAAGAGGGAAGCCGGGCUCUGCUGACCUCGCUGUGCAUGCUGGGAGUUGUCGUCUCUUCACUACUCCGGCCCCUUGUUUCAGGCGCUUCGGGACUACAAUCCCAGCAUAACCCAGGCUCGGGGACCGGGCGCAGUUCUCCGGCGAAGAGCUGGGCGGCGAGCGCCUGGCUAGGCAGGCUGGAAACCGUGGCUCUUAACGGUUCCCCACCGGUUGGUGGCAAGGCGGCUGAACUAGAAUCCCAGCAGGCGACAUGCGAGGAGGCGGGCAGCCAGGGGGGUUGGAAAAGGCAGUGUGGACCUCGCCGCUUCCACAACUAUGCUGGUCUACUGAUCGCGUGCACCUCCUUGCCAAGGAGUUUUACAGUUUCUGGUUAAAUAACAAUGGUAUAUCACCUCCCAUCUGUUAGGAUGGCUGUCAUAAAAAGGACAAAAGAUAACAAGUGUUGGUGAUGGUGUGGAGAGAAGGGAACCCUUGUAUGCUGCUGGUUAGAAUGUAAAUAAGUUAGUACAGCCAUUAUGGAAAACAGUAUGAAGGUUCCUAGAAAUCUAAAACUAGAACUACCAUAUGGCUCAGUAAUCCCUCUUAUAAGUUAUAUAUCAACAGGAAAUAAAACCAGCAUGUUGUAGAGAUAUCUGCACUCCCCUCUUCCCUGUGCCCCACCACAGCAUCGUUCCCAACAGCCAAGUUAUGGGACCAAGUUACUGUACAUUGAUGGACAAGUGGAGAAAAAAAUUUGUGGGGGAGGUGUUUGUGUGUGUGUGUGUAUAAUAUAUCAUAUAAUAUUUUUCAACUUGUGAAAAGGAGAAGAUACUGCCAUUUGUGUAACAUAAAUGAACCUGGAGGAUAUUAAGCUAAGGGAAAUAACAGGGAGAGAGAAAAAUACUGCAUAGUUUCUGUUAUAUAUAAAAUCUUUAAAAAGAUUAAAUACCUAUAUAGAGACAGGACAGAAUGAUGACUGGGGGGAAAGAGACACAAGUCAACAUUUCAGUUACAUAAAAUAAAUGAAAUCUAGAGGACUAAAGUACAGUUUAAAGGUUAUAGUUACUAUUUUUAUAUGAUAUACUGGUAAUUUUUUUUUUUUUUUUUUUUAAUUUUUUUUUUUUUUUUUUUUUUUUUUUUUUUUUUUUUUUUUUUUUUUGAGACAGAGUCUCGCUCUGUCGCCCAGGCUGGAGUGCAGUGGCGCGAUCUCGGCUCACUGCAAGCUCCGCCUCCCGGGUUUACACCAUUCUCCUGCCUCAGCCUCCCAAGUAGCUGGGACUACAGGCGUCCACCAUCUCGCCCGGCUAGUUUUUUGUAUUUUUUAGUAGAGACGGGGUUUCACCG